RNAcentral lists this ribosomal RNA (465 nucleotides) under uncultured bacterium. RNAcentral's name for it is "partial 16S ribosomal RNA". It matches the Rfam family "Bacterial small subunit ribosomal RNA", at positions 28 to 507 of the family's 1533-position model. The record is from RNAcentral.
AGCGAACGCUGGCGGCAUGCCUAACACAUGCAAGUCGCACGGGUCGGCUUCGGCCGGUCUGUGGCGGACGGGAGAGGAACGCGUAGGGAUCUGUCCCCUGGCGGGGGAUAACCGCGGGAAACUGCGGCUAAGACCGCAUGCGGCGCCGGUGUGAGAGCCGGUGUCAAAGGCGCGCAUCGCGAGGUGUGUGUCGCCGGGGGGUGCGCCUGCGUCCGAUUAGCGGGUUGGCGGGGUUGUGGCCCACCAAGGCGUGGAUCGGUCGCUGGUCUGAGAGGGUGAACAGUCGGACUGGGAUUGAGACACGGCCCAGACUCGUAGGGGAGGUGGCAGUGGGGAAUAUUGGAGAGUGGGCGCGAGGCUGAUACAGCAAUGCCGGGUGGAUGGAGAAGGUCUUCGGAUUGUAAAGCCCUUUCGGCGGGGACGGUGGUGACGGUACCCGCAGAAGAAGCCCCGGCUAACUUCGUG